UGGGUCAUUGCCAAGUGGUAAGGCACAGGAUUUUGACUCCUGGAUGCGCUGGUUCGAAUCCGGCUGGCCCAG
RNAcentral lists this transfer RNA (72 nucleotides) under Caudoviricetes sp. RNAcentral describes it as "tRNA-Gln". It matches the Rfam family "tRNA". From Rfam's summary of the family: Transfer RNA (tRNA) molecules are approximately 80 nucleotides in length. Their secondary structure includes four short double-helical elements and three loops (D, anti-codon, and T loops). Lineage: Duplodnaviria; Heunggongvirae; Uroviricota; Caudoviricetes. The record is from RNAcentral.